This 504-nucleotide ribosomal RNA is filed under the name uncultured bacterium. RNAcentral's name for it is "partial 16S ribosomal RNA". It matches the Rfam family "Bacterial small subunit ribosomal RNA", at positions 29 to 523 of the family's 1533-position model. The record is from RNAcentral.
AUUGAACGCUGGCGGCAGGCCUAACACAUGCAAGUCGAACGGUAGCACAGAGAGCUUGCUCUCGGGUGACGAGAGGCGGACGGGUGAGUAAUGUCUGGGAAACUGCCCGAUGGAGGGGGAUAACUACUGGAAACGGUAGCUAAUACCGCAUAACGUCGCAAGACCAAAGUGGGGGACCUUCGGGCCUCACACCAUCGGAUGUGCCCAGAUGGGAUUAGCUAGUAGGUGGGGUAAUGGCUCACCUAGGCGACGAUCCCUAGCUGGUCUGAGAGGAUGACAAGCCGCACUGGAAAUGAGACACGGUCCGGACGCCUACGGGAGGCAGCAGUGGGGAAUAUUGCACAAUGGGCGCAAGCCUGAUGCAGCCAUGCCGCGUGUAUGAAGAAGGCCUUCGGGUUGUAAAGUACUUUCAGCGGGGAGGAAGGCGGUGGAGUUAAUAACUUCACCGAUUGACGUUACCCGCAGAAGAAGCACCGGCUAACUCCGUGCCAGCAGCCGCAGUAA